This 504-nucleotide ribosomal RNA is filed under the name uncultured bacterium. RNAcentral's name for it is "bacterial SSU rRNA". It matches the Rfam family "Bacterial small subunit ribosomal RNA", at positions 15 to 518 of the family's 1533-position model. The record is from RNAcentral.
GAUCAUGGCUCAGGAUGAACCGCUAGCGGGAGGCCUAACACAUGCAAGCCGAGCGGUAUUGUUCUCGGAAAUGAGAGGGCGGCGUACGGGUGCGGAACACGUGUGCAACCUGCCUUUAUCGUGGGGGAUAGCCUUUCGAAAGGAAGAUUAAUACUCCAUAAUAUAUUGAACGGCAUCGUUUAAUAUUGAAAGCUCCGGCGGAUAGAGAUGGGCACGCGCAAGAUUAGCUAGUUGGUGAGGUAACGGCUCACCAAGGCGAUGAUCUUUAGGGGGCCUGAGAGGGUGAUCCCCCACACUGGUACUGAGACACGGACCAGACUCCUACGGGAGGCAGCAGUGAGGAAUAUUGGUCAAUGGGUGCAAGCCUGAACCAGCCAUCCCGCCGUGAAGGACGACUGCCCUAUGGGUUGUAAACUUCUUUUGUAUAGGGAUAAACCUACCCUCGUGAGGGUAGCUGAAGGUACUAUACGAAUAAGCACCGGCUAACUCCGUGCCAGCAGCGGC